GCCCAGAUUUUUCACUCUCCAUGAACUAUGCAUUCCGAUAGAUCCUCUACCAUCUUCAAACCUAAAAUCUCUCAUUAGGAUGGAUUUAGUCAACUGAUUUUCUUGAUUGAUCACCAAGUUUACAAAGACUGUGAAACAGAACAAGGAAGAGAGCCUUCUCAAGAUUGACUAGCCUCAUCAGCAACAUGAAUACAAAGAGGCAAGAAGAUAAUUAUGAACCUGAGAUAUUUGUGUAUAUAUUUCAUGUCAAUGUCUUAUCAAAGAGCCUUUUGAUUCCUUCAUUGCCAUGGUCAGGUCUCUGUCUAUCAAUCAUGGUAAUCCUAUUAACAUUAACAGCACAAAUACCUACAUAGGUAUAGGCAGUGCAACAGGCAUAUAAAGAAUUGGCAGGAAGAAAUAGUGCGCAGGGGAAGUGACAUGCCAACUUUAUCCUGUAGAGGACAAUGCAGUGCAACAAGAAAUAAAACAAAAUAAAACAGGAACUUGAUAAGUCCCUGAUUUUGCUAGCUGGAC
This 513-nucleotide small RNA is filed under the name Histoplasma ohiense. Its description in RNAcentral is "hypothetical lncRNA". Lineage: Eukaryota; Fungi; Ascomycota; Eurotiomycetes; Onygenales; Ajellomycetaceae. The record is from RNAcentral.